This 204-nucleotide ribosomal RNA is filed under the name uncultured bacterium. RNAcentral's name for it is "partial 16S ribosomal RNA". It matches the Rfam family "Bacterial small subunit ribosomal RNA", at positions 1296 to 1500 of the family's 1533-position model. The record is from RNAcentral.
GAUCGCAGGCUGCAACCCGCCUGCGUGAAGUUGGAAUCGCUAGUAAUCGCGGAUCAGCAUGCCGCGGUGAAUACGUUCCCGGGCCUUGUACACACCGCCCGUCACACCAUGAGAGUCGGGAACACCCGAAGUCCGUAGCCUAACCGCAAGGGGGCGCGGCCGAAGGUGGGUUCGAUAAUUGGGGUGAAGUCGUAACAAGGUAGC